This 253-nucleotide ribosomal RNA is filed under the name uncultured bacterium. RNAcentral's name for it is "partial 16S ribosomal RNA". It matches the Rfam family "Bacterial small subunit ribosomal RNA", at positions 524 to 776 of the family's 1533-position model. The record is from RNAcentral.
GACGAGCCACACAAACGUUAUUCGGAAUUACUGGGCUUAAAGGGUGCGUAGGCGGCGCGGAAAGUUGGGUGUGAAAUCCCUCGGCUCAACCGAGGAAUGGCGCUCAAAACUACCGUGCUCGAGGGAGAUAGAGGAGUGCGGAACUUACGGUGGAGCGGUGAAAUGCGUUGAUAUCGUAGGGAACACCGGUGGCGAAAGCGGCGCUCUGGAUCUCUUCUGACGAUGAUGCACGAAAGAUAGGGUAGCGAACGGG